Molecule: ribosomal RNA, 263 nt
Filed under: uncultured bacterium
Lineage: Bacteria
Description: partial 16S ribosomal RNA
Rfam family: Bacterial small subunit ribosomal RNA
Source: RNAcentral
GUCCACGCCCUAAACGAUGUCAACUGGUUGUUGGACGGCUUGCUGUUCAGUAACGAAGCUAACGCGUGAAGUUGACCGCCUGGGGAGUACGGCCGCAAGGUUGAAACUCAAAGGAAUUGACGGGUACCCGCACAAGCGGUGGAUGAUGUGGUUUAAUUCGAUGCAACGCGAAAACCUUACCUACCCUUGACAUGUCUGGAAUUCUGCAGAGAUGUGGAAGUGCUCGAAAGAGAACCAGAACACAGGUGCUGCAUGGCCGUCGU